This 203-nucleotide long non-coding RNA is filed under the name Physcomitrium patens. RNAcentral describes it as "long non-coding RNA (PPAT_LNC005120)". The record is from RNAcentral. Lineage: Eukaryota; Viridiplantae; Streptophyta; Bryopsida; Funariales; Funariaceae.
UUUUUAAAUGUAAUUUUGGAUUGUAAUUAGCAUUCAAUGCAAGAAGCCACAAAUUCUUCCACAUCUUUGUAGAGGCUCUUCUACCAAUAUCACUCUUUGAUCUAAAGAUAGGUAGUCCAAUCUUCUUUGUGGCUUAUCCAAAGUAUAUUAUGAAACUACUUAAGAACUUAGUUCUUAGUUUCUACAUCAUUCACCACUCUCAA